Non-coding RNA from Chelonia mydas (Green sea turtle), 107 nucleotides. The record is from Rfam. Lineage: Eukaryota; Metazoa; Chordata; Testudines; Cheloniidae.
GUGAUUUGUGGUGGCAGCACAGAUACUAAAAUUGGAACCCUGCAGAGAAGAUUAGCACGGCCCUGCAAAAGGACGACACGCAAAUGCGUGAGGCCUUCCAUAUUUUU